CCUACGGGGGGCAGCAGUGGGGGAUAUUGCACAAUGGGGGAAACCCUGAUGCAGCGACGCCGCGUGGGCGAAGAAGUAUUUCGGUAUGUAAAGCCCUAUCAGCAGGGAAGAAGAAAUUACGGUACCUGAGUAAGAAGCAUCGGCUAAAUACGUGCCAGCAGCCGCGGUAAUACGUAGGGUGCAAGCGUUAUGCGGAUUUACUGGGUGUAAAGGGAGCGGAGGCGGUUCGGCAAGCCUGAUGUGAAAGCCCGGGGCUCAACCGCGGGACUGCAUUGGGAACUACCGGGCUGGAGUGCCGGAGAGGGAGGCGGAAUUCCUGGUGUAGCGGUGAAAUGCGUAGAGAUUAGGAGGAACACCAGUGGCGAAGGCGGCCUACUGGACGGUGACUGACGCUGAGGCUCGAAAGCGUGGGGAGCAAACAGGAUUAGAUACCCUAGUAGUC
This 442-nucleotide ribosomal RNA is filed under the name uncultured bacterium. Its description in RNAcentral is "partial 16S ribosomal RNA". It matches the Rfam family "Bacterial small subunit ribosomal RNA", at positions 338 to 795 of the family's 1533-position model. The record is from RNAcentral.